This 253-nucleotide ribosomal RNA is filed under the name uncultured bacterium. RNAcentral's name for it is "partial 16S ribosomal RNA". It matches the Rfam family "Bacterial small subunit ribosomal RNA", at positions 524 to 776 of the family's 1533-position model. The record is from RNAcentral.
UACGAAGGGGGCUAGCGUUGCUCGGAAUUACUGGGCGUAAAGGGCGCGUAGGCGGCCGAUCAAGUCAGGCGUGAAAUUCCCGGGCUCAACCUGGGGGCUGCGCUUGAGACUGGUUGGCUAGAGGCCGAGAGAGGGUGGUGGAAUUCCCAGUGUAGAGGUGAAAUUCGUAGAUAUUGGGAAGAACACCGGUGGCGAAGGCGGCCACCUGGCUCGGUACUGACGCUGAGGCGCGAAAGCGUGGGGAGCAAACAGG